Molecule: non-coding RNA, 2204 nt
Organism: Zootermopsis nevadensis
Lineage: Eukaryota; Metazoa; Arthropoda; Insecta; Blattodea; Termopsidae
Source: RefSeq, a predicted model, not a curated record
UAGAUAAUCCAUAAUUCCAAAGAUAACGCCUUCCUCCAUUGUAUAACCUGUAGCCCUGAAGUGUGUGUGUUAUGGUAAACAAAGUAUGGUGUGGCAACCACCAAGAAAGGUUGUGUACCUUAGUGCUGCAGCGACGUGCAUUGGCCUGGCGUAUUUGGUGAAGGAUUAUACUGGUGGGAAGAAAUAUGAAGGAUCAAGUCAUGUAGACAAGAAAGUAGUUAUCAUUACUGGAUCAAAUACAGGAAUUGGAAAAGAAACAGCACUUGAAUUAGCAAAAAGGGGUGCACAUGUUAUCAUGGCAUGUAGAGAUGCAAGAAAAUGUGAAUUGGCACGGCAAGAUAUUGUUCUGCAAACUAAGAAUAAAUAUGUGUACUGCAGAACUUGUGAUUUGGCAUCACAGAGCUCAAUAAGACAAUUUGUAGAGAGAUUUAAAUCAGAACAUCAGCGGCUUGAUAUCUUGAUAAAUAAUGCAGGUGUUAUGAGAUGCCCACACACCAAAACAAAAGAAGGCAUUGAGAUGCAGCUUGGUGUAAAUCAUAUGGGUCAUUUCUUAUUAACAAACCUAUUAUUGGACAAAUUAAAGGCAUCUGCUCCAAGCAGAAUAAUAAAUGUGUCCAGUGUUGCACAUCAUAAAGGUCAUAUCAACAAGGAGGACCUAAACAGUGACCAGCAUUACGAUAAGGCUGCAGCCUAUAACCAAAGCAAACUAGCAAACUUGCUAUUCACCAGAGAACUAGCUAGGAGAUUGCAAGGUGCUGGCGUGACAGUGAAUGCUGUGCAUCCAGGCAUUGUGGAUACAGAGAUUAUACGACACAUGAGUUUCUUUAAUAGCACUUUAUCUGCUAUAUUCCUGAAGCCAUUUAUUUGGAUGUUUAUCAAGAGCCCUCAGCAAGGAGCACGAACAACAGUCUACAUGGCUCUAGAACAAUCCCUUCAAGGUGUAAGUGGUAAAUAUUUCAACGACUGCACAGAAGAGGAAGUAGCACCACAAGCCAAAGAUGAUACAAUGGCACAAUGGCUGUGGGUUGUCAGUGAGAAGUGGACAAGACUUAACACGACAAAAUAAUAUUUGAUAUGGAAAGGAAGUCAUGCCAGGAAUACCAAGGAUAGAGUUUCGCUGUAACAAUGGAUCACAUAAACAUUGAGAUGCCAAAUGAAGUAUGCUAGCAUGAUGGACAGCCAGCUGGAUCAUGUACACUGUGAUGCACCGACACUAUGGGUUUAAAUGUCCAAAAUUUAAAUAAAGAUCUCGUAGCAAGGUACUGAAUUGAAAUAUUUGCACCAUAUCUACAUUAAAUAUUUGUUGAAAUUACUUGCUGUAACUACAAACAACUGAGACUUUUAGUGGAAAAAACGUGUAGCAUCUUGUUAGGAAUACCAUAUGGAAAGAUGAAAACCAAAAUAUGCUGGUGGGUGAAAAUGCGCCUCUAUUUAUUUUUAUUAGAAGUUGAAUAGGAUACAUAAGAAUGUUACAUUGCCUCAAGGUUACUUUCCGAUUAUCAUGCUUUAAACAUAGAAAGGGCGAACUACGCACCAGGCAGACAAAUAAUGCUACGAAACAUUUUCAAUAUAAUAUUUCCAAUGUAGCUUCAUUACUGUCCUUUAUACUAUUAUUCAUAUGAAACAAAGUUAGAAAAGUACACAUCUUAUUACAAAUAGGUACGCACCGUAAAUGCAAGUGCAUUUUAUGUAGUCAGCUUCGUUGUCAGUGUCUCGCAAAUAACGUCGUGUGAAGAAAAUGAAUGUAUAUAAAUAAUUAAAUAUUAAUUGAAUGAGUAGGCUGCAGUUAUUAAUUAAUAUUUAUUCUGCACUGUAAACAAACAAGUACAUAUAACACAAGAAGAAAUAAUGAUUAUCAUAAAUAUGUACAUAAGUUAGAACUUUAUAAUAGCAAACAGUUAGUAGCAGGUUGUUUCUUUUAUAACAAACUGCCUACCAUAAUAAAACAAAUAAGAAAUAACAAUCAGUUUAAGAAGGAAUUGAAGGACUUUCUUAUUAAGGGGUGUUACUAUUCACUAUAAGACUAUCUUAAUGAAGAAUUUUCGAAUAUUGGCUACUGAUAAUUCAAUAUGUAUAAUGCUAUAUCUCCAAACGGAAUUAUAUCAUAUUCAUUAUUGUAUGGUGAUAAUGUAUAAUAUAGAUUGACUUAUCCUAUAUCAAUGUAUCUUUGAUCUACAGGAAAUAAAGUAUUAUUAUUAUUAUUA